UGCACACAGCAGCUCUCUGCUGUGACGUGAGAUUUGUUUCCCUCCUUUUCGAGCCCUGUCUCUCCCACACAGCCCCACAGGCACCUGCUCACAAAGUCUUGUGAAAGUCUUGAAGUCUGUCUCUCUGGACAAAACUCCUAGUCUGAAUGGAUCUGUUCACCUGAAAAGGCAUUGCUCCAUCCCACUGCCCAACCUAAGGGAGAAGUUGAGAAUACAGGGUGUUUCAGCACUGAAGCACUGACUAAUUUCCUUUGGGUGCAUAUGAAAGACAAAACUUGAAUAUCCCAAAACAUUCUGGAUGAAGACCUUGAAUUCCAAGGAGAUCUAAAAAGAGAAAGUUUGGCGAUUAAUCAUGGAUCAUAGGACUGAGGAGAAAAGAAAGCAACGCCAUAGCUUGACCUUACUGGAACAACUAAAAAGAAUGAAAGAAUCAUCAGAGAUAGUUGAUGUUGUGCUAGUGGCCGAAGGUCAGAAAUUUCCCUGCCAUAAGGUGGUACUAGCUGCCUUCAGUUCUUACUUCAAAGCCAUGUUUACCUGUGGGUUGGUUGAAUGCACUCAAAGAGAAGUGGUACUGUAUGACAUGUCAGCAGAGAGCGUGUCUGUAAUCCUCAAUUACAUGUACAGCGCGGAUUUGCACCUCACUAACCAGAAUGUGCAGACUGUUGCUCUGGCUUCGUAUUUCAUGCAGAUGGAAGAUGUUUUCAGCUUGUGUCAAAAGUACAUGAUGGACCACAUGGAUGCUUCCAAUUGUGUGGGCAUCUACUACUUUGCAAACCAUAUUGGAGCAGAAGAUUUAUGUGAUCAAGCGAAGAGGUACUUAUAUCAGCACUUUGCUGAGGUGAGCUUACAGGAAGAAAUAUUGGAGAUAGAAGUCCAGCAGCUGUUGACUCUUAUAAAAUCAGAUGAUCUGAAUGUUUCCAGGGAGGAAAGCAUUCUGGACCUUGUCAUUAGAUGGGUGAAUCACAACAGAAAGUCGCGUGCAGAACAUCUUAUCAAGCUCUUGAAGGAAGUGAGACUGGUACUGGUCAGCCCUUCCUUUCUCAUGGAAGCCCGCAAAAGGAACACAGUGAUUCUGUGCAAUUCAGAAUGCAAUGAUAUGUUUGAGGAAGCGUUGAAAAGCAUCAAACUAGCCACCCACCCUUCUCUCAGCUUGAGAUAUGGCAUGGAGACUACUGAUCUCUUACUCUGCAUCGGCAACAAUUCACUUGGCAUUAGGUCAAGACAUGGGAGCUAUGCAGAUGCCAGUUUCUGCUACGCUCCUGCAACACAAAAGACUUACUUCAUUUCCUCUCCAAAGUAUGGAGAGGGUUUAGGAAGUGUUUGCAGUGGUGUUGUCACUGAGAAUAAUGAUAUUAUUGUGGCAGGAGAGGCAAGCGCCGCCAAAAUGUCUAGACAAAAAAACAGGAACAUUGAAAUUUAUAGAUACCACCAGCGAGGAAAUCAGUUUUGGCACAGCCUGUGCACCGCUCAGUUCCGUGAACUCUAUGCACUGGGCACUGUCCAUAAUGAUCUCUAUGUGAUCGGAGGGCAAAUGAAAAUCAAAAAUCAAUAUGUGGUCACAAACUGCAUGGAGAAGUACUCCAUGGAGCAAGGUACCUGGAGAACCACAGCACCUCUGCCAGUGCCAUUAGCCUGCCAUGCAGUGGUGACAAUGAAGAACAAGCUCUACGUGCUGGGUGGCUGGACACCACAGAUGGAUCUGCCUGACGAUGAGCCGGAUCGAUUAAGUAACAGAAUGUUUCAGUAUGACCCGGGCCGAGACAAAUGGGCAGAGUGUGCACCAAUGAAGUACUCCAAGUACCGCUUCAGCACAGCCGUGGUCAACAGUGAGAUUUAUGUCUUGGGAGGAAUUGGGUGCCUUGGCCGCGACAGGGGGCAGACACGGAAAUGUCUUGAUGCAGUGGAGAUUUAUAACCCUGAUGGAGACUUCUGGAGGGACGGACCUCCUAUGCCUUCCCCGCUCCUCUCCUUGCGAACAAACUCUACCUGUGCAGGCUGCGUGGAAGGCAAGCUGUACCUCUGCGGAGGAUUUCACGGAGCAGCUCUAAAACCUGACACCUGCACAGGUUGGCAGCUAUUAAUGUGAAGCUGGGCAUGGCAGAAGCAGACUCAUUAGUGCUCCUUGUUGGAGGAAGGGUGAGCAGCUCUGCAGUGAAAAGAAUGAAGGCAAGUGUGUGUUUGCUGUGACUGCUAUCAGCUCAUGGAGGCACAUACUCGAUGUCGUGCUGUAGCCUCAAAGAGAUCUCACAGCAUGUCUCUGGGGGCUGGGGCAGGGGGAACAAUCAGCAGGGCUCUGUUUUCUUGAUCAUAGCUUUAGUCUGUAGGUGUUAGUCCAACUGUCUGCCUCAGAUUUGAACUAAAUUCUAUCAUAUUUAAACUUCAUUGUAAUUACUGUACUCCCAUGUGGCAUCAGCUGGUGUGCAAAGCGAAGGGACAGCCACCUCAAUUCAAAUAAGAUCCUUUACAGGCCUGCUGGUAGCGGCUCAUGCCACUUAAAACGCCUUGUGAUUUUAUCAGCUAUUGCAUUUGAUGUGGAACUGCCUUUCUCUGAACUGGCUGUUCUGCCAUCUUUCUUCAGCGCUGUUCAUAGAGAAGAUAACGUUUGCUGCUUCCCUACUCUAUAUGUUAAAAUUCUGUGUGGGGCCAGAGCAGCUCAGCUCAGAUCUGCUAUUUACUUAUCACUGCUAUCAAACAGUAAUUCAUUUUUUCACUCCAGGGGUAUUACUGGUGGCGGGAGGAAAAGGGGAAGAGAUGCCUUUGGACUUGGAGCACAAGAAUCUCAAUUUUGUCUGCAGCUGUUAGAUAGGUGAUAUGGUAACAGUCUGCUAACUGUGUAACUCUGAUUCUACCAAAAAAAAAAAAAAAAGUAUGCUUACCCCAGGUGUGCUUUCUGGCCUCUUCUUCCCUAUUUACAUAAAUUGCAAUCCAUGUGCUGGAAUAGCAGCAGCACUGCUUGCGGCAGCGCAGAGCCGGGUCAUAAUUACUGUAUUCCAGCUGAGCUAAUGAGUUUGCAUCUCCAUGCCACCCUCUCCUGACAGUGGACUAGCUUAAUAGUUAUUUAUUUUGACUAAUCUCCCAUAAAGGCUGUUCCCCUCAGCCUCAUCCAUUAUGUGAUUUAGAUGGAGAAUCGCUGUAAUGCCUGUUUUGUUUUUUUUUAUUAUAGUGGUUAUGGUACAUUACUGGAAUCAAAUUAAAUCUAGACAUUAAGAAGUCUGGCACAGUAAAUACUAGACUUGUGAAGUUUGGGGGAUGAAGGAUUGGAAGGAAAGCUGUUUCUCCAGCACCUUCGCAUGUUCCCAGCUAAAUAAAGCAGAGGGGCAAACCCUGGGCUGCAGAUCUGCAGCACUGCUUGCUUCCCUCGGUUAGAAUUUACCAGGCAGUGAUGAAUAAUUAAAGUUCUCCUGCCCACAGUUGUUACCAUUUACAUAUGCAUCCCCACCCAUGAAAUGGAUUUGAGGUCCCUGCGUUUCACUCAGCACAGAAAUCUGACACACCACUGCUGCUUGUCUAUGGGUCCACUCUGAAAAAUGCCGCUUGAAUUCUGUCCGUUCUCUGAAGGGCUGCUCUGACACCUCUCCGGGGUGCUCCUUCCAGCCCUGUGCUCAUUAGCUAGAAUCUCACUGUGGUAAAUAAGGCCAGUGCAGGUCAGGAAAUCACUGGUGAGCAGCACCUGCUUGUUUCAGAUCUAAAUUCAGCCUGCCGCCUGACUGUAUUAGUAAUUCGGUCAUGCUCCCUGCAAAGAUUCAUUUAUAACUUAUAAAGGGUUAAUAAAUGAUUAAUUGACAUUUUAAUGCAUCUUAAUUAAUUGCUAAAGAGGUCAAUAGGUUGUUUAGAAACAUGGCUCACAGCCAUGUAUGACAUCUUCCAUUGUGUUCAUAACUGCCUGUCAUGCGUACAGUCUAAACAUGCUUUAUAUCACCGAUUAAUAAUGUAUUAGCCCAUCACAAAGCAUUUAGAAACAGUAUCUUAAUAUGGUCGGAGGCCGCUGAUUCCUAUUCUGAUCUCCCAGCUUUUAUUCCCGUGAAUGGUGCAUUGACUCCAGGAGCACUGAUCCUGCUCUGCUGUGACCCACCAUCCUGCCCCCAGCACCAUCAGCAUCCGUGCCCAUAGGGCUGGAGGAGGCCUGGCCCACGAACAAUAGAUAACUGGAAAGAGUUCAAAAGCUGAAGCAGCUGGAUCAAUCCCAAGAAAAUCAGUUGAAAUAACUGAAUCAGAAGCUCCUUCCUGUCGGCCAUUCUUUAUUUAUUUUAAUAGAUAUUGAUUUGUGAGGGAAUGGGUGGAUCACAGUUACGGUCCUGAAGAAUUAGACAGCAGAGCGAGAGGAUAGAAGCCUCGUCUAUGAGAGCGAGUGGCUUACCUUACUCCAUGCCGGUGCUUGGAAAACAGUGAGCUGCCAUAGCUAUAAAUUCAGCUUUUGCCGUGUCUGGUGGGGAACGCUGCCUUGGAACUCGGCAUCCUGAAGGCUGGCCAGCAUGUUAAACAGCCGAACCAAGUUCCCUCUCCUGUGUAUUCUCUGCCUGCUUCUGCCCACAGGCGUGGAUGAUGGAUGUGUGACCCCCUGGGUGUGAGCGAGGCUGGUGGAGUUGGGGGCAGCUCGCAGGCUCAGAUGGGAUUGGAGGCCACAGACUUGAUGAACUUACUCUUUUUUCUUCUGCACAUCAGGAACCAGUACAUCUGGAGAUAAUGAUCUAAAUGCACUUUCUUCCCAGUGUGACACAAAUGUCAAUUCCCAAGUCACCUAACUCUACAUCAUGUAAUUAUGAAAGCAGCUAUUAGUGGCGAGGAAGAUAAGUAGGAGAGGCUAAUCCCACAUGUUUAAAAUCACCGUCUGCUCUCUGGUGCAGAUAAUGGCAUGCAAAACCAGUUAGGAACCAGCACUGGAGGCCGAGCUGCUUCCGGGCAGCUCUGGAGUGGCUGCUGGGUGACAAGGACCUGGGAAUCUUUUGGAAGAGCACCCUCAGUAUGUGGCUCUGGGGACUGAUGGGCACCUUGUGAUGUUCAAGUGCUUUUUCCAUGGAAAGAGCGGAGCAGCUAGUUAACAAUUCAACCACUAGAAGUCUGAUGGCUUUUUUCAUAAAUAGAUUUAUGGAUAGGGAAGAUAAAGCAUGUUAGAGUACUGUGCUGAUGGGAAAAGUUUCUGAGACAACCUGAGAAGUGCCAGGACUGACAUCAGCAGGAGCUGGGAAAGCAGUCUAGGUGAGGAUGUUUCAGGGCAUCUUAAGGACAAGGGCAGAUGUGACACCAAGACUAUUUCAGGCUGGAUAUUAGGAAGAAUUUCUUCUCAAAAAAGAGU
Molecule: RNA transcript, 5293 nt
Organism: Lagopus leucura (white-tailed ptarmigan)
Lineage: Eukaryota; Metazoa; Chordata; Aves; Galliformes; Phasianidae
Gene: KBTBD12
Gene name: kelch repeat and BTB domain containing 12
Exons: 8
Source: RefSeq, a predicted model, not a curated record